Molecule: non-coding RNA, 45 nt
Filed under: Schistosoma bovis
Lineage: Eukaryota; Metazoa; Platyhelminthes; Trematoda; Strigeidida; Schistosomatidae
Also listed under: 1 other name
Source: RNAcentral
AUCUUGCUGAUGAGUGCCAAGUAGCACGAAACUCGGGUCCAGGGU